CUACGGGGCGCUGCAGUGGGGAAUAUUGCACAACGGAGGAAACUCUGAUGCAGCAACGCCGCGUGGAGGAUGACACUUUUCGGAGCGUAAACUCCUUUUAUAUAGGAAGAAGAUGACGGUACUAUAUGAAUAAGCGCCGGCUAACUCCGUGCCAGCAGCCGCGGUAAUACGGAGGGCGCAAGCGUUACUCGGAAUCACUGGGCGUAAAGAGCGUGUAGGCGGAUUAAAAAGUCAGAAGUGAAAUCCUAUAGCUUAACUAUAGAACUGCUUCUGAAACUCUUAAUCUAGAAUGUGGGAGAGGUAGAUGGAAUUUCUGGUGUAGGGGUAAAAUCCGUAGAGAUCAGAAGGAAUACCGAUUGCGAAGGCGAUCUACUAGAACAUUAUUGACGCUGAGACGCGAAAGCGUGGGGAGCAAACAGGAUUAGAUACCCUAGUAGUC
This 439-nucleotide ribosomal RNA is filed under the name uncultured bacterium. Its description in RNAcentral is "partial 16S ribosomal RNA". It matches the Rfam family "Bacterial small subunit ribosomal RNA", at positions 339 to 795 of the family's 1533-position model. The record is from RNAcentral.